GGGUGGUAAUGCCGGAUGUUCCAGUUGAUCGCAUGGUCUUCUGGGAAASSUUUCGCGGUAUGGGAUGGGGUCGCGUCCUAUCAGCUUGACGGCGGGGUAACGGCCCACCGUGGCUUCGACGGGUAGCCGGCCUGAGAGGGCGACCGGCCACAUUGGGACUGAGAUACGGCCCAGACUCCUACGGGAGGCAGCAGUGGGGAAUAUUGCACAAUGGGCGCAAGCCUGAUGCAGCGACGCCGCGUGAGGGAUGGAGGCCUUCGGGUUGUAAACCUCUUUUAUCGGGGAGCAAGCGUGAGUGAGUUUACCCGUUGAAUAAGCACCGGCUAACUACGUGCCAGCAGCCGCGGUAAUACGUAGGGUGCAAGCGUUAUCCGGAAUUAUUGGGCGUAAAGGGCUCGUAGGCGGUUCGUCGCGUCCGGUGUGAAAGUCCAUCGCUUAACGGUGGAUCCGCGCCGGGUACGGGCGGGCUUGAGUGCGGUAGGGGAGACUGGAAUUCCCGGUGUAACGGUGGAAU
Molecule: ribosomal RNA, 514 nt
Filed under: uncultured Bifidobacterium sp.
Lineage: Bacteria; Bacillati; Actinomycetota; Actinomycetes; Bifidobacteriales; Bifidobacteriaceae
Description: bacterial SSU rRNA
Rfam family: Bacterial small subunit ribosomal RNA
Source: RNAcentral